GACGAACGCUGGCGGCGUGCCUAAUACAUGCAAGUAGAACGCUGAAGAGAGGAGCUUACUCUUCUUGGAUGAGUUGCGAACGGGUGAGUAACGCGUAGGUAACCUGCCUUGUAGCGGGGGAUAACUAUUGGAAACGAUAGCUAAUACCGCAUAACAAUGGAUGACACAUGUCAUUUAUUUGAAAGGGGCAAUUGCUCCACUACAAGAUGGACCUGCGUUGUAUUAGCUAGUAGGUGAGGUAAUGGCUCACCUAGGCGACGAUACAUAGCCGACCUGAGAGGGGGAUCGGCCACACUGGGGCUGAGACACGGCCCAGACUCCUACGGGAGGCAGGAGUAGGGAAUCUUCGGCAAUGGGGGCAACCCUGACCGAGCAACGCCGCGUGAGUGAAGAAGGUUUUCGGAUCGUAAAGCUCUGUUGUAAGUCAAGAACGGGUGUGAGAGUGGAAAGUUCACACUGUGACGGUAGCUUACCAGAAAGGGACGGCUAACUACG
This 495-nucleotide ribosomal RNA is filed under the name uncultured bacterium. RNAcentral describes it as "partial 16S ribosomal RNA". It matches the Rfam family "Bacterial small subunit ribosomal RNA", at positions 28 to 505 of the family's 1533-position model. The record is from RNAcentral.